RNAcentral lists this long non-coding RNA (322 nucleotides) under Anas zonorhyncha (Eastern spot-billed duck). Its description in RNAcentral is "lncRNA (ENSAZOG00000004626.1)". Lineage: Eukaryota; Metazoa; Chordata; Aves; Anseriformes; Anatidae. The record is from RNAcentral.
AAAAAAAAAAAAAAAAGGCCCAAUUAAAGACUUCUCAUUAGAUGCUCACACUUUGAGUGUGUGGCUAUUGGCUCACCAGGUGAAGCCUUCAAGUCUUCAGAUCAGGACACAGAACAGGGCUCUGUCCCCAGCAGUGGAAGGCAAACGUGCUCACUGGCCAGAGAGGUGACGGGCUUUAGAAGGGUGAAAGUCUCCGUAGCUUGGUGCAGGAGCCCUGGCAGCGAUCUCGUCUGCAGCUGUAGGAGGAGGCAGGUGGCAGGAGUUCCUCUGAAACACGACACGCGUGGGCACAGAACCACGUCCAAGCUCCAUGUGAUUAUUG